AAGCAUCUAAGCACGAAACUUGCCCCGAGAUGAGUUCUCCCUGACCCUUUAAGGGUCCUGAAGGAACGUUGAAGACGACGACGUUGAUAGGCCGGGUGUGUAAGCGCAGCGAUGCGUUGAGCUAACCGGUACUAAUGAACCGUGAGGCUUAACCUU
This is a ribosomal RNA of Mangrovibacter sp. MFB070, 156 nucleotides long. It matches the Rfam family "Bacterial large subunit ribosomal RNA", at positions 2775 to 2925 of the family's 2925-position model. The record is from Rfam. Lineage: Bacteria; Pseudomonadati; Pseudomonadota; Gammaproteobacteria; Enterobacterales; Enterobacteriaceae.